AUGCCCCAGAUUAUAUAAGAAUGCUGCGUGGGAAGCUCCGGGUGUAUUGGCGCUAAUUACACAUUGCACACGUCCCGUCUAGCAUUUAUUGUUGAAUACAUAACGCCAAAAGUGUAACGCUGGACACUGCCCACAAGUAUGCUAGAAAUGUGUUCGACGAGCGUGUCCGGUACACUUGGUGUGAGGCGAGAUUGCAGCGGGCCUUCAACGCGGACGGGGGGCGGCGGAGAGCCCCCACUACAAUACGACUUUUGAUAAUACCGAAUAAAUAGCUCGUUGCCAGCUCAAUCUCAAGCUCAUGAUGUGACGUAGAGCUGUCUCUGUCGCUCAAUUCUUCAUGAAUUUCAAAUUUAGUUGAACAGUUUUAAAUUCAAAUUAAUGUAAACGGUACAUUUUAUUGAGUUAUUAGCACAAGUUCUUUUGCGAUUUCGGAGCAUAGCCUCUUUAUUCAAUACAUACAAGUAUAAUACUAGGCGAGCCCGUGAAAAUAAAUAUGGAUGUCCUAAUGUAUACGAACAAAUAGAUAUUUCUUGCCCAUUAUAUUUAAUAAAUUAGAUUUCUUUUGAUAGGCGGAGAAUUGUUAAGUAGUAAAACUUAAAUUGUAUACCUCUUGAAAGUAUGUAAAUUUGUCUAAAGUCUACAUUGGUUUUGAUAAAUGUACUCGUACUAGGUACAUUCACUGUAUACAGUGUUGUGAUUGUGAGUUUAAUUUCGCCAACUAACUGCUUUCGCAGUUUGUUGAGAAAUUGUAUAUCAAAUCUUUAACUCGCAAAGUCUGAGGGCCACUACCACUGCGCCCGUCACCCUGGGAGUUGAAAAGUUCCAUGUGCCUGUAAUUUCACCAGGAUGCCCCCUUUCUCGUAAAAACCAAAACAAUAAUAAUGGUCACAUUACAGUUUGGCGGUAGAAAUAGUUAAAGUAACAGUAUAGUAUUUUAAAAUGGAUUACAUCAUCUAACGUGGUGAUGUUGGCGCACGUGCACUUUUUCGCUCAUCUAAUGAACGAGCAUAAUUAAUGUCCAUUUGUACUCCCGCGUUGCAUGUGCUCGUCUCUGAUGGUGUAAG
Molecule: long non-coding RNA, 1064 nt
Organism: Hyposmocoma kahamanoa
Lineage: Eukaryota; Metazoa; Arthropoda; Insecta; Lepidoptera; Cosmopterigidae
Exons: 3
Source: RefSeq, a predicted model, not a curated record